GUUUGGUCCCAACUUUAAACUCAACUACUACUCAACUUACACAUGCAAGUAUCCGCACACCCGUGAAAAUGCCCUCACCCCUCAUACAGGAAAAGGAGCCGGUAUCAGGCACAAAUAUAUUGCCCAUGACACCUAGCCACGCCACACCCCCAAGGGCCCUCAGCAGUGAUAGACAUUGCUCAUUAGCGCCAGCUUGACUCAGUUAGAGUAACUAGAGCCGGCCAAUUCGGUGCCAGCCGCCGCGGCUAUCCCGCUUGACUCAAGUUGACACUAUCGGCGUUAAGCGUGAUUAAAGUAAUACCCACGUAGAGUUAAACCCCAACCAAGUUGUUAUACACCUGUCUGUAAGAAACCCUCAAACGAAAGUUACUCUACCCCUAAACUUGAACCCACGACAAUUGAGACACAAACUGGGAUCAGAUACCCCACUAUGCUCAAUCGUAAAAUAUCUACUUACACUUUCAUCGCCCGGGAACUACGAGCCCCUUAAAACCCAAAGGACUUGACGGUGUCUCACCCACCUAGAGGAGCCUGUUCUAUAAUCGACACUCCACGAUAUACCUUACCAUCCCUAGCACACUCAGUUUGUAUACCUCCGUCGCAAGCUUACCAUGUGAACGUCACCAGUGAGCUAAAAGAUUUCUCCACCCACACGUCAGGUCAAGGUGCAACUAACGGAAUGGAUAGUAAUGGGCUACAAUUUCUAUGAUAGAACAUACGAAAACUAAAUGAAAUUCACCACAAAGGCGGAUUUAGAAGUAAAAAGGAAUCAAAAAAUUCUUUUUAACUAGGCCCUGGGACGCGUACACACUGCCCGUCACCCUCCUCAACCCCACAGAAGAGGCAAGUCGUAACAUGGUAAGUGUACUGGAAAGUGCACUUGGACAUCAAAAUGUAGCUUAACAAAAGCAUCCCACUUACACUGAGAUAGAUGUUGAUUAAUUUUAACCAUUUUGAGCCUAAACCUAAGCCCCCCCCCACUUCUGACAAACAAUAAAACAUUUUAUCAUUAAGUAACGGCGAUUAAAAAAUAAAUCGGAGCUAUAUAAAUAGUACCGCAAGGGAAAUAUGAAAUAAAAUGAAAACUCAAAGCAAACUACAGCAAAGAUUAAUUCUUGUACCUUUUGCAUCAUGGUCUAGCCAGUCUAACCAAGCAAAACGCACUUAAAGUUUGACAUCCCGAAACUAAGCGAGCUACUUUAAAACAGCUCACAGAGCCAACUCAUCCCUGUUGCAAAAGAGUGAGAAGAUUUUAAAGUAGAGGUGACACACCUACCGAGCCUAGAAAUAGCUGGUUAUUCAAAAGACGGAUUUAAAUCCGACUUUAAGUUUUUUUAGUCUUACUAAAUAAUUACUAAACUUAAAAGCCAUUCAAAUAAGGUACAGCCUAUUUGAACAAGGAUACAACCUAUAAUAUAGGGUAAUGUCUAUUAACAUGACUAAGUAGGCCUAAAAGCAGCCACCUUCUAAAAAGCGUCCAAGCUUCCCCACUAAAUAUUUUUAAUAACACCAUUAAUCCACAACCCCCAAACACUACUGAAUGAUUCCAUAACUAUUAUGGAAGACACCAUGCUAGAACUAGUAACAAGAAGAUGAACUUCUCCAAAAUGUAAACGUAGGCCAAUAAUAAACCCCUUACCGGCAUUUACCGCUGUAAUCUACAGUAUAUUCUAACAAGAAAAUUCUACUAAAUUUAAGCGUUAACCUUACACCAGGACAUUUCUGGAAAGAUUAAAAGAAGGGGAAGGAACUCGGCAAAUAACAGCCCCGCCUGUUUACCAAAAACAUCGCCUCUUGCUAAACAUAAGAGGUCCAGCCUGCCCAGUGACAAUAGUUAAACGGCCGCGGUACCCUAACCGUGCAAAGGUAGCACAAUCACUUGUUCUUUAAAUUAGGACUAGUAUGAACGGCCCCACGAGGGCUACCCUGUCUCCCCCCUCCAAUCAGUGAAACUGAUCUCCUCGUGAAGAAGCGAGGAUAUCCCCAUAAGACGAGAAGACCCCAUGGAACUUUAAACUAGUACCACCCCUCUCUACGAGACCUCAUGACUACUAGUCUUUCGGCUGGGGCGACCACGGAGAAAAAUAAAACCCCCGAGAUGAAAGGAAUUAUCCUUAUCCCAGAACUACUACUCCAAGAAUCAAAAAUGACACCUUGACCCAAUACUUGACCAACGAACCAAGCUACCCUGGGGAUAACAGCGCAAUCCAUUUCAAGAGACCCUAUCGACAAAUGGGC
This 2238-nucleotide non-coding RNA is filed under the name Stumpffia sp. 7 MV-2009. RNAcentral describes it as "partial contains 12S ribosomal RNA, tRNA-Val, and 16S ribosomal RNA". The stretch from base 889 to 957 matches the Rfam family "tRNA". Lineage: Eukaryota; Metazoa; Chordata; Amphibia; Anura; Microhylidae. The record is from RNAcentral.